RNAcentral lists this ribosomal RNA (254 nucleotides) under uncultured bacterium. Its description in RNAcentral is "partial 16S ribosomal RNA". It matches the Rfam family "Bacterial small subunit ribosomal RNA", at positions 526 to 779 of the family's 1533-position model. The record is from RNAcentral.
CGUAGGGGCGAGCGUUGUCCGGAAUUAUUGGGGCGUAAAGCGCGCGCAGGCGGUUUUGUAAGUCCGAUUGUUUAAACCCGGGGCUCAACCUCGGGUCGCAAGGGAAACUGCAAGACUUGAGUGCAGGAGAGGGAAGCGGAAUUCCAUGUGUAGCGGUGAAAUGCGUAGAGAUAUGGAGGAACACCAGUGGCGAAGGCGGCUUCCUGGCCUGUAACUGACGCUGAGGCGCGAAAGCGUGGGGAGCAAACAGGAUU